Molecule: long non-coding RNA, 242 nt
Organism: Ostrea edulis (European flat oyster)
Lineage: Eukaryota; Metazoa; Mollusca; Bivalvia; Ostreida; Ostreidae
Exons: 3
Source: RefSeq, a predicted model, not a curated record
CGCCGAUCUCAAUAUCUUCUACAGAAGAAAGUAUAUUACCCCCAACACAGGGGACACCCCUACGACCAUGUGAAUUCUCCGAGUCGGACUCGGACAUUAUCAUUCCCCCGUAAGUUACAUCUAACAUUCAGAGUUUCACUCUUUGCAUCACUUUAAUAAUCAUUCCAAAUCAUUCAUUGUAAUUUUAAUUUCAAAUCUAUUUCAGCUCCCAGUUCCAUAUGGACCAGGAGAAAAAGAGGAAU